RNAcentral lists this ribosomal RNA (433 nucleotides) under uncultured bacterium. RNAcentral describes it as "partial 16S ribosomal RNA". It matches the Rfam family "Bacterial small subunit ribosomal RNA", at positions 29 to 507 of the family's 1533-position model. The record is from RNAcentral.
AGCGAACGCUGGCGGCAGGCCUAACACAUGCAAGUCGAACGGAUCCUUCGGGAUUAGUGGCGGACGGGUGAGUAACACGUGGGAACGUGCCCUUUGGUUCGGAACAACUCAGGGAAACUUGAGCUAAUACCGGAUGUGCCCUUCGGGGGAAAGAUUUAUCGCCAUUGGAGCGGCCCGCGUCUGAUUAGCUAGUUGGUGAGGUAACGGCCCACCAAGGCGACGAUCAGUAGCUGGUCUGAGAGGAUGGUCAGCGACACUGGGACAGAGACACGGCACAGACUCCUACGGGAGGCAGCAGUGGGGAAUCUUGCGGAAUGGGCGAAAGCCUGACGCAGCCAUGCCGCGUGAAUGAUGAAGGUCUUAGGAUUGUAAAAUUCUUUCAGCGGGGACGAUAAUGACGGUACCCGGAGAAGAAGCUCCGGCUAACUACGUG